Molecule: RNA transcript, 4029 nt
Organism: Bubalus bubalis (water buffalo)
Lineage: Eukaryota; Metazoa; Chordata; Mammalia; Artiodactyla; Bovidae
Exons: 5
Source: RefSeq, a predicted model, not a curated record
GGAAAUGUAGUCCGCAUGGCGCCCAGCGGGAAGGCGGUGCCUUGCGGCGGAGGCCGGGAGCACGUGGUCCGGGGAUCAGCCGAGCCCAGGCAGCCUUAGGCCUAUUGCGGCCAAGUUCGACCGGCGAGAGGCGCUGCGGGGCAGCUUCCUAAGAGGACAUCUCUCUGGCCCAGACUGUCCUGACCACCAGACCCAGCCGCUGCCAGCCUCCUUGCCUUCUGAAACUGUCACGGGCACGUCAAGUUGAACAGGUCAAGCCACCUUUCCUCAAUACCCGCCCGGUAGAAGUCUCUGGGAGAACCACUCACCUGCCGCCUAGGCCCGGCCCGGAGGGGCAGCACAGAAGGGCCUCCUCGUCCAGGCUCCAUCUCUGUCAACACCAGGAGCUCCCAUCAGCUGUAGCCACCUGUUCCCCCACCCUCCUCUUGAGGCAGCUUGGAACAUGGAGAGAUGAGUUAUCCUCAGAGCAGGUCAUCCCUCCACUUCAGCUUCUCCAGACUCAUCGCACUCCUUAAGUUCGCAAGGCACCGAGCUGGGGCUUUCAAGGUCUGACUCGGCUCUAGCGGCCCCAGCCCCUCCGCUAGACCCACCGCUUCCCCUCCGCUGCCGCCUGGGGCUUGGAGUACAGACACACCUGCAAACACCGCUGCUCAGCCCGGCACAGCGAGGGCAGCGUGGUAGGAGGGGGUGCCAGGGGCUGAAGAAGAGGAGGGUCCCGGAGGAGGAAGGUUUGCACCGAGGGUUGAGAGAAAGUUGCUGAAAUGUUCAUGGCUGGAAUGGUACGAUGCCUGAGAUCUGUGUCCCAGUAACCAGCGGGGAGGGGAGGCUUGAGAGGAAGAGCAGAUUGAACAACACUGGCGUGCGUUGAUUCCUGGGGGCGGGAGGCGACACUGCGUGGGAGCUCAUUAGUCUCUCCUCUACUGUGAAUAUGUUUGACAAGUUCAUAAUAAAAGAGUGAGCAAAAACGUCUGCCAGGGUGCCUCUCUCUUGGACCAGGCAAUGCCCUUUCCCUGGGGAUCUUUUCUCAACCCCUCCCCCGUGCACACAGCACAGGGGCUCACAGCACUCUCCACUCCACGCCACCUGCACUGUCCACAGGCCGGGGCAGGACUCUGGGACCCGCACCAGGACCCCUGACUCUGGAUGCAGAAGGGCUGUCCUUCUCCCAACUCCCAUCUUUAUCUCUGUGCUCCCAAGGUUCUGCCCUGACCUUCGCACUUCCUCCUCUGAUGUCUCCCUGAGACAUCUCAUCCAUGCCUCCCUUGUGCUCACUGCUCGCAAACCUCCAUUUUCAGCCCAGAUUUCCCUGUUGUGGGAGACUGCUGUGUGAGCCCACUUCACCCUCUGGCCACUGCUCAGUCCCUUUCCUCUUCUCUCCUCCAGGCUUCCCCAGAGAAUGUUUAGUGGGAGCCGCACUCACUGUUCAGCCGCUGCACUCUGGCUUCGAAGUCCCUGCUCCUUUGAAACUGUGCUCAGCACAGCCCUCAAGGGCCCCCUAACUGGUACCUCCAAUGGCCGCGUCUCAGCACCUCUCCUAGGACUUCCAUGCCACAAUGGUGCCCUGCGCUGGUGAUUGUAGGCACGCCCUCCUUGGGUCUCCAGGAUCCUGCAUCUUCUGACCUUGUCUACUCUCUGUCCUCCUUUAUGAAUGCCUCUGAUAUCCCUCACUAACCCCCCCGCAUUCAGCCCUUGCCUCACUGUCUUCACAUCUCACACGUUCCCACUGGGCCUGGAAAAUGGGCUGUGAAGCAGUGGUGGGGCCAGGGUGCUGAAUGGUUCCCUUGCCCACUGAAGACACCCCGAGGGGCAGCAGGGAUCCUGCACCCAGGCACCAGCAUUUCAGGGAUUCCUCUAGGAUGCUGAGAAGCAAUAGUAAUAAGUAGGUGUAAAAACAUUACCAUUAAUAAUAAUGGCAAACACGUGCGGGCACUUACUAUGGCCAGGCCUUCUUUACACAUUAUCACACUGACUCUUUCCCAAACCUCUCAUUACCCCAUGUAUUGAUAAGGAAAGGAAGGUAUACAGACAGGCUGUGAACCCAGGCCAUCUGAUUUCUUCACCAGCACUGCUCAGCACUCCCAUGGAGGUGGUGCAGCAGAUGCCGCGAGUCGGAGCCAGAUGGUUCUGCAGGAUAAUGAAGGGGGUGGGGGUAAGACAACUGAGAGACACAGCAGGUGGAAGAGGGAACAGCCUCCACCAGUGCUUCAGGGAAGGCGGGUCCUUCCACCUCAUUCCGAAUGGAGGCCCUCUCCAGGCCUUGCUGAUUUAAAAUCCUAACCAGUUCUUGCCUCUGUCUUCCUGUCAUCACUGAACAGUUCCGGUGAAUUUUCAUCUCUUGCCUAGACUGCUGAGACAGCAUCCCAACUAGCUUCUGUUCCUGCCUGGACCCCUCUGUCAUGUUGGAGCCACAGUGACCCUACUAUGCACUCAUCCACAGCUGAAAACUGGUCCACAGCUCCCUCCUGCCUUCAGAGCAAAGUCCACUCUCCUUCCUAUGGCAGAGAAAGCCCUUCCUGAUCCAGCUACUGCCUCUCACCCUCUCCCUAAAGCCGUUACAUAAAGUUUACAUAAAAGGAAUAUGUAAGAGACCCAGUAAAGGAGUAAACAGAAGCCAGGAGGCACAUAAAAGCAGUGAGAGCAAUUUGGGGCGGGUGCUGGCAGGGGACGAGGCAGCAAGAAGGUAUGUGAAGAGAGGUAGAGAUGGAGAGACGGGUCUCUCCACGGGGUCCUGGUGAACAGGAGGCAGGGCUGGAGCACCACUGAGGGGUAAGACAGGUUGGGGGCUCUCCUGGACCCAGGAGGAGCUUACUACUCCUGAACCCCAUUCCAGUAAAUAGGAGGCCCAGCUGAAAGGUUGUUUCCCAAGAGAUUCUCAAGUCUCUCUUAUAUCCUUGAAAUAACUCACAAUCACUCGAGGCCACCUGAAUGAAGCCUCAAACAAUACAGAUGGGAACAGAGCCCCGGCUGGGGGUGUGAAUCUCCUGGGGAAUGUGCAGAGUGAGAAGGUUGUCUAGGAUGGAGCCCUAGUUAAUGCUGACUCUUAGGGGUGGACUGAAAUCCAGGACAAGGAGGAAGAGAAUGAGAGAGCGUGGUGAGGGAACAGGAGGGGCACUGAGAUGCCGGACUCAGAGUCUGAGCAGGAGAGCAUUUCAGAGGAAGCACCGGUCAACACAGAAAGCGCUGCCAAGUGACCAGGAAAGAAAAGACUGACACGUGUCCUUUGGACUUGGCAGCCUUGAGUCACUGGUGACCUUGGUGGGAGUCCUCUUAGGUGAAGGGGGAAGCUGGGCUGCGAGGAGCGAAGGGCUGAGUGGGAAUGAGAGGGGCAGAGCCUGCCUGGCAACAGCAGUUUUCCUCCUUUCUCUGCAUGGAGGAGGAGAGGGAGGGAGCUUUGGGGAGCAUAAGACCUGAACAGUUCAGUGGGUUGGAGGCGGCCUGUAAGAGACUGCUGAGCAGGAACGAGGGCUGAUGAGCUGUGAGUCUGCAUGGACAAGAGGUUUCCUCUAACAACCCUCGCCACCCAGAGGCAGGAGUAGAGAAGCUGCUCAAAGCACAAGCCGCAGAUGCCCAGGGUCCAGGCAGGGAGCAGCAGAAGGCGAGGGGAAGAAGAAAAGGGUGUUCGGGUUUUCCACAGGGGCUCUUGCUAUGAAGGGAGAGGGGCCAGGAGAGACUGGCUGACUGGGAGAAUUUCACAUACUCAUCACCUGGGAAGCAACUCUGGAUGCUAAAGAGCUUCAGUGCCCUGCCACGGGGAAGGGUGGAGGAGGCACUGGGGGCAUCCUGAGACUGAGAGGCAAUGUCUGCAGGUUGUUGAGGGGGUGAGGCAGUUCUCUGGGGGGAUAGAGGAACUGAAGUAGGGAGGAUGUCCCUGAGCUUGCACCCAGAUGGGCACGUGACGACCAGGGAGCAGCAAGGAGAAGGCAGGGGCUGGACUAGGACAAGGGGCAGGCGGAGGGGGCGGCGGGCAGAGGAAGCUCAAGGAGAAGACUGGGAGAGGGACAUGCAGGAUGCUGUGGUCAGAGACAUGGU